Spodoptera frugiperda (fall armyworm) is the source of this 3966-nucleotide long non-coding RNA. RefSeq lists it as uncharacterized. The transcript has 2 exons. NCBI's taxonomy places the organism in Eukaryota, Metazoa, Arthropoda, Insecta, Lepidoptera, Noctuidae. The record is from RefSeq and is a predicted model, not a curated record.
UUUACACAAGUACAAGUACUAGUACUGGUCCUUUGAUUCAUUUGAUUGUUAUCGUUCGAAAGUUUUUUUAAAUAACAUUUUAUUAUCGAAACGAAACAAUCAUUUUAUUAUGAAGGAAGAUCCAAGACAAGAAUUUAAAACUAAUAGCUGGAAUAAGAUGAAUGUACAGCAACUUCAGACCGGGAUGGAGGGAACCUACACGCCAGUAUUCCUGGCCAGUCCUCCAUGGAAAUGCCUUGAUCACUCCGCCCUGUGACUAGCAGAACUGGAUAUUGGAGUAUGGCAAAAGUUUCCCUAGCCUAGCCUGGCUCUGACACUCUUUUUAACCGACUUCAACAAAAGGGGUUGUCGAUAUCGUUUUGUUGUUUGUUUACUUUGUAUUAGUUGUCUUGAUGUCUGGUUGUAUAGUUGAUUGAAGGUUAAGUGUCUGAUCGUUGUCUGAACAGUACUAUUCUUUAGCUGGUAUGUCUACAGGUCUCCUGUCAUCUUCACAAUGUCCUUGUGAAGAGUUUAUUAUUUUUGAUGUCAUUGGUUGAUGUGUAAUCAAGAUGAUCAAUACUAAUGGUUGUAAAAAUAUAAUAUAUUAUUAUAUAUUACUAAUACUUAUGUAUUAUGGUCAAUAUAACGCACACACUCCCAUAAACCGUUACUGAAAAGUAAAUUUAGGAGGUGUGCUUGGUAUAAAAUAAUCAUAUAAAAUUUACUAUUUAUUUAUAUUAUAUAUUUAUAUAUAAUUCAAAAAAAAAAAUAAUCUCAAAAAUGUGUAUUCAUACAAAAUUCUGGCAAGGUUGUAUAGAAUUAGAUUGCAUUUGUUAGUUGUUGGGUUAAGAUUCGACAAAUUAAAAAAGUUAGGGAAUAGCAGCUGAGAAAGCUGGGCUGGGCUGCAAGUACCACACUAUGGGUAAUUAAACACUACUUUGCAACUUCUUCACUGGUUUCCUUUUUACAUAUUAUUUUGUCUGUAAGCUGUUAUUAGAGAAUUGUCGAUUUCUCAACAGCAUGAGACUUCGCAUGUUAUUUUACGUCAUUGUUUUGUGAAUUUUUGUGUUUCUUUGAGUGACACAAAGUACUUUGCGUCGUUGUUCCACGAUAUUUUCAUAAAAAAUAUUGGCGGACUUAAAUUAUGGGUUAACAAAUAUAGAAUAUAUACCUAUUAUUUAGCGUGUAUUUAUUUAGGAUAAAAAAAUUAGGUAUAAAAAUUAUCUUUUAAAAUUGUAAUCAUUAUAAAAAUGUAAACAUUAUUAUUUUCCAUAUAUUUAUUUAAAACACUCUAAAAUUAUAUUUUUAAACAUUACUUAUAAAAAUAAAAAACAAAAUAACAUUUAAAAAUAUAAAAAUAGGAGCCGACCAGUAGCGGGAGCAUGGUCCAAGCUACCGGUGGUUAGGGCUCCAAAGACAGAAACCUCCUCACAAUACGUGCCGUUUCGAGGAGUACUGCCUUCUGCAUCAGGCCCUUGAUCCAUCCGCCCAACCCCAGCCUUCUAAGGUGGUUGUCGAGGCUGUUGGGUAUUAAACCGUUGGCCGACACGACUAUCGGCACAACGAUAGCCGAAUCCACAUUCCACAUGUCGACAACCUCGUGAGCCAAGUCAAGAUAUUUUAUUUUAAAACAUUAUUAUCAUUAACAGACUCAAACAUUUGGAAAGUAUUUAUGAAAAACUACUCGCUAUAACAAAUAGACUUUAAAAACACAAAACCAAAUCUCAUGAUACUAAAAAUAAGAGAUCAAUUGUUUUUAGAUCACAAUCUUUAAAAAUCAAUCAAUCGAUAAAUCUCAAAAUAAUGUUACUCUUAAAAUAAUUAAUUUUACUCAUUCAGAAUCAGAAUCGUUAUCAAUUUCAAGUGUGGUAGUCUGACCAUGUGUCAGGGUUCUAACAUAUUCAUGGUACUUGGUGGGUAUGAUCCCAGUCUUGCACAAAUUCAUCAGAUCUCUUUGUCUUUAGUCUAAUGGCGAUCGGUUCAAAAUAGGCUUUUUUAAGAAUAUAUGUACGGUUUCUAGUCUCCUUACAUGUUAUUAAAAUCAUGAAUACAUCAUCCAAAUUAUAUUUAUACUAGAUGAAAACCCGGCUUUGCUCGGGUAAAAUUUGAAUCAUUAUACACAAACAUCUAGGUGCAAAAUGUAGAUAGAUGUUUCUGUAGUCAUCGGUUCUCAAAGAAUAUUAAAUAUAGAUUCAUAUAGCUUCGUUAGUUGUAUUUAAUAAAUAAAUAUGGUAAAUAAAAACUGCAAAAGUUUUCACACAAAUUAUUUUUAUUUUAAAUCAGCAUAAACUAAUAAACUAAGACAAAUUAUUAACAAAACAAUCAAAUUCAAUCGUUAAGGCGCUGUGCAUAGUCAAAAUAGGAUUGAUUUAACCGAUUCGUUGCGACGCCCAUUUUGGUGCACUUUUAUGCGUGGCGACGAACAAAUAUUUCGUGACACGACAGUCGUGUCAAGCGCCAUAUCAGUUGAUGACACGCCUAUUGUGCCAUCAGCCAUGUACAGAAUAAAAUGUUCUUUUUUCUUUUUUUCAAGAAGCACCUCGAGAAAUUUCGAUUUGAGCGAGAUAAAAGACAUUUAAUGACACGACACGCGUGUCAUACGCCAUAUGUAAAAAUUGGAUGGCACGCCUGUCGUGCCAUCCGCAACGAAUCGGUUAACAGUGUUUUUGCCCAAUGUUUACAUGUUAGAGCAACAAAAAAAAAUAUAUGUUAAUCUUGAUCAUUUUUAUAAAUGGACCACCUUCUUCAAAACACGUUUUCUAUAAAUUUUCUCGAUAGAAAAAAAUCAUAAACUAGCCAUUUAAAUUGAAAUUCUAGCCAUUGUAACUAUAUUAUUUAUGAACAUAUCUUAAUAAAAUUAAUAACAGUGACGUAAUUUAAAAUAAUAAAAGGAUCUGCCGCAUUUAUUUAUCGAUUGAAAUGAGAUAUUUGUAAGGAUUAAUAUAAUUCAUGAUAAAUAACUCAGAACGAAUCGAACAAAAUGUCGUCCGAUCAUGACAUCUAUUCGUUUCUCUUUCAUUCCUACGCGGACCGGCAGUGACCGCUGAGGCGCGCUGCUUGGUGGACCUAUGUCAGUUUGUGUCAAUCGCCGCUCAGAAAAUAAUCAUUCACUAACAUAUCUUUUUGCUGUUUGUAAUAUUUUAUUUUGUAAUUAGCAUUUUCUAAGUUGGGUUGUCAGUAUAUUUUUUUGUACGAAAUCGAUUUGAAUUAUAAGUUGUGUAAAUACAAUUAAUUUUUUCUUAUACUAUUACCGCGUAGCAUGGUGCAGAUGACACAUUCAGUAACGUUCCGUAUCAUUCUUAAAAGGAGAAGGGGACUUUUGGGCCCAGCAGUUAACUAGUUGAAAUGUAUAUUAAAAAAACCGUCAUAUUUUUCUAAGGGAAAUCACAAAAUAUGGUACCUUGUUUCUAUCUAGGAAGCGAGAAAACUUAAAUUAAGUUGUGUAAUAAUGUAUGUAAAAUAAUGUAUGUAUAACGUACUCUUUGAUUUAAACUUCUUAAAACACUUCUGUCUGACUUCAGUCAGUCACCGAUUGACAGAUGACACUUUCCCUAUACUUAUUAUACUCUUUGGAUGACACUCGUUCGUUGUGUUUCGUUCUAAGUGCGCACGUAUUUUCCAUGUUUUAUUGUUUAACCCCACGACCUCGGCUUUAUAAAGGACUUUUGACGGAUCUUGAAUCUAUAAAUUACCUGACUCUCUAUUUUGGACAACUGCAACAAGCCUAUCAAUCGAAUAUUGACGACAUAUAUCGCUGUGUAAAUUGUACGAUUGCGACUGGUCGCUGUAACUCUAUUGGCAGAAGAGUCUUGGAAGAUGAGGCGACUUUAUUAGUUAUUCGUCAGUGGCGUGCAUCUCAGCCUGUAUAAUAUGGUAUCUCAGUUGGGAAAGAUACCAAUAAAAUAUACGUACCCCGAACCCCUACACAAUUCUAAGAUGACAUUCUCCUAAUUAUUCAAGAUGAUUAAUACAUAUUUUAUACUAAUA